RNAcentral lists this ribosomal RNA (526 nucleotides) under uncultured Bacteroidota bacterium. RNAcentral describes it as "bacterial SSU rRNA". It matches the Rfam family "Bacterial small subunit ribosomal RNA", at positions 8 to 527 of the family's 1533-position model. The record is from RNAcentral. Lineage: Bacteria; Pseudomonadati; Bacteroidota.
AGAGUUUGAUCAUGGCUCAGGAUGAACGCUAGCGGCAAGCUUAAUACAUGCAAGUCGUGGGGCAGCAUGAAGUAGCAAUACUUUGAUGGCGACCGGCAAACGGGUGCGGAACACGUACACAACCUCCCGAUAAGUGGGGAAUAGCCCAGAGAAAUUUGGAUUAAUACCCCGUAACAUUGCGAUGUGGCAUCACAUUGCAAUUAUAGCUUCGGCGCUUAUUGAUGGGUGUGCGUAUGAUUAGAUAGUUGGAGAGGUAACGGCUCACCAAGUCUACGAUCAUUAGCUGAUGUGAGAGCAUGAUCAGCCACACGGGCACUGAGACACGGGCCCGACUCCUACGGGAGGCAGCAGUAAGGAAUAUUGGUCAAUGGACGAAAGUCUGAACCAGCUAUGCCGCGUGAAGGAUUAAGGUCCUCUGGAUUGUAAACUUCUUUUAUAUGGGACGAAAAAAGGUCUUUCUAGAUCACUUGGCGGUACCAUAUGAAUAAGCACCGGCUAACUCCGUGCCAGCAGCCGCGGUAAUACA